CUGCAGCCAUUUAAGCCAACUGUGUUCCUUUACUUGUGAGUGUGCAGUGUGCAAUGGCUGCAAACAGCAAUCUCCUGAGUAGUGUACUCAGCCUGUUGCUUGCAUGGAUUGCCCUGAGGAACCUUGGAGACUGUG
Heterocephalus glaber (naked mole-rat) is the source of this 135-nucleotide small nucleolar RNA. Its record names the gene SNORA70. It matches the Rfam family "Small nucleolar RNA SNORA70". From Rfam's summary of the family: snoRNA U70 seems to be exclusive to mammals and is a member of the H/ACA class of snoRNA which contain H (ANANNA) and ACA box motifs. H/ACA box snoRNAs are involved in the conversion of uridines to pseudouridines (5-ribosyluracil) a constituent of structural RNAs (transfer, ribosomal, small nuclear, and small nucleolar). Lineage: Eukaryota; Metazoa; Chordata; Mammalia; Rodentia; Bathyergidae. The record is from Ensembl.